Molecule: ribosomal RNA, 374 nt
Filed under: uncultured organism
Description: bacterial SSU rRNA
Rfam family: Bacterial small subunit ribosomal RNA
Source: RNAcentral
CGUAGGGGGCGAGCGUUGUCCGGAUUUAUUGGGCGUAAAGAGCUCGUAGGCGGUUUGGCAAGUCGGGUGUGAAAACUCCGGGCUCAACUCGGAGACGCCACUCGAUACUGCCAUGACUUGAGUCCGGUAGGGGAGUGCGGAAUUCCUGGUGUAGCGGUGAAAUGCGCAGAUAUCAGGAGGAACACCGGUGGCGAAGGCGGUACUCUGGGCCGGUACUGACGCUGAGGAGCGAAAGCGUGGGGAGCGAACAGGAUUAGAUACCCUGGUAGUCCACGCCGUAAACGUUGGGCACUAGGUGUGGGGCUCGAUCGACGGGCUCCGUGCCGUAGCUAACGCAUUAAGUGCCCCGCCUGGGAAGUACGGCCGCAAGGCUA